UGAGGAAUAUUGGUCAAUGGGCGAGAGCCUGAACCAGCCAAGUAGCGUGCAGGAUGACGGCCCUAUGGGUUGUAAACUGCUUUUAUGUGGGGAUAAAGUGCGUGACGUGUCAUGCAUUGCAGGUACCACAUGAAUAAGGACCGGCUAAUUCCGUGCCAGCAGCCGCGGUAAUACGGAAGGUCCGGGCGUUAUCCGGAUUUAUUGGGUUUAAAGGGAGCGUAGGCUGUCUAUUAAGCGUGUUGUGAAAUAUACCGGCUCAACCGGUGGCUUGCAGCGCGAACUGGUCGACUUGAGUAUGCAGGAAGUAGGCGGAAUUCAUGGUGUAGCGGUGAAAUGCUUAGAUAUCAUGACGAACUCCGAUUGCGCAGGCAGCUUACUGUAGCAUAACUGACGCUGAUGCUCGAAGGUGCGGGUAUCAAACAGG
This 424-nucleotide ribosomal RNA is filed under the name Fusobacteriota bacterium. RNAcentral's name for it is "Fusobacteria bacterium partial 16S ribosomal RNA". It matches the Rfam family "Bacterial small subunit ribosomal RNA", at positions 355 to 776 of the family's 1533-position model. Lineage: Bacteria; Fusobacteriati; Fusobacteriota. The record is from RNAcentral.